AACACAGGGGAGUCGAGAUGUAACCGCCAUGGGGUAGGAAGCCCGGCUGUUCUCUGACAGGGUUUCUCUGUGGAAUGUGACUUGUCAGGGAAGGCAGCUGACACAAUGACCCCAGUCCCUAAGUGACUGAAAUGGAGCAGAAGAGACAGCCACUGUCACCACAUGGUGAGAAAAAUGCUUGGAUGAGCAGGAGGCAUUCACCCUCAGGUCUGUCGCUUCCCUGGUGUCUGUGACGAGGCCGCAGCCCAUGCUGCAGAAAGACGAGACAGCAUAUAUGGCUCCCAUCGGUGUCCCAUGUGUUGCUCUGCCUUCUGAGUCCGCUCAAAUGUAAGUGCUUGGUCUUGGAGGGACCAACCUGCUAAAACUCACCAGAAGCCAACCUUCCAGCACAGCAGUCAGCAGCAAAACUGUGGUGCCACUUCUGUGGGUGUCUAUAAUGCCAAGAGGCCUGCCAGCCUCAAAUGAGUUCUCAGCCCAAGUGACUCACCCGGACAGUAGCAUUGCCAAGCCUUGCCUACACCUGGCACCUGUGUGGUGACUUGUAUUCCCAGCCUCAUAAAGCGCUCACGAGGUACUCUUACAUGAUUUUGAUUCUGGAAACAGGGGAGGUGUGAUCUCCUGCUUAUGGGUGGGAACUGAGGUCCAGAGAGCACGGUUCACUUGCUUAAAGUCACACGGAUUUGUUGUCAGUACUGGCAAGGUGUCCCAGAGGAGACAGCAUCGCUAGGCCAGGCCUGUUUCCACCAUAUUACCCUUGUCAUUGGAGUUGUUAGGGCCAGAGCCUGGGCCCUCGGAGCCCCAGCAAGCUGAUAGGCGCUCUGUCCUCAAUCUGCCAAUUCAAGAGAUGCCUAACAGUGAAACACUGAAACUUUUUCAGUGCGGGUCACUCUGUGGAGAGGAACACACAGGAAGGUACAGUAAGUCCAAGUCCAAGUCCAUCUCUGAGGUAUACACCCGUGGCCUGGGUUUCAAUAGAAAAUAAGAGGUCUGCAUAGCUAAGCAGAUCUGGCCAAGGUGUGGUCCCAUGUACUGCUGUUUCAGUUCCAAUCUUUCCCCAAGAUGAUCUGAAAAGUUGUCAGAACUGGGUGAGAUCUCUUCCCGGAGCAUGACUCUCCUGAGGUAAUCCCAGCUCCUGGGGAUCCAUUGUCUCAACAGCCGAAUAGACCAAGGGUGGGGCACGUCUCUUCAUUCCUACCAGGACAGUUCCAUCCUCUCUCUCAGUCCUGAGACCUGGCAUGUCACCGAGCGGCCUGAUACCACUUUGUGUUGUCUCCCCAGGACACUCAGUUCUAGGGCUGGGUGACUCCAGUGUGAGUCACCUUUGUCCCAGCUAGGGAAGCACACUCACACCUGACCUCCCCAGCCUCCACUGGUCAGGGUAAACUGUGGAAUGGGUGCCCCUCCCCUUCUGGGACCCCCCCCCUUUCCAUGCUCGCCUUGGUAUUUGGACCCUUCUGUGUACUCUGGGUCCUCUUAUGUCUGUUUUCUAUCUCAAGACACAUGUCCCCAGGGUCUCUGGUUCUCUGGGCUCCCAAAUAGGUUUGGCCAAAAGCAGGUAGUAGUGCAGAGCAGGAGGGCAGAGUAGAAGCUAGCUUGAGGGAGAAGCAUGGCCUGGUGACCUGAGCUCAGACCCUUCCAGAACUGCUCUGAUUUCUGUUUCAGUCUUUUGCUGCCAUUUCCUACCGCUUCUUCUACGAUGAUGUUGGUGAUGCUGGAGCCUUCCACCUGCUGCCUCAACAUUUUGUUCAGCCCCUCUGGCUCCUGCUGGGUCAUGGCUGAUAAUAAUGAUUUCUGGGGGACAGCACCAAGUCAUCUUCUACACCAAGUGUGUCUGAUCCCUUGGCACUCCAGUUACAGACAGUUGUGAGCUGCUGCGUGGGUCCUGGGAACUAACCUAGUUCCUCUACAAGAGCAACAAGUGCUCUUCGCUGGGAACCCCGGAAUCAGUUCAAGCACCCCAAGACCAAGUUCUCAGAACAAAGGAGAUUUAUUUGCCCAGAGGGGCAGAGUGCAGAGAAUAAGAGACAAAGACAGGAGACAGAGGAAGAGGGAGAUGGUGGAGGCUUAUUUGUCCCACAUGGACAAAGAACUCUGGAUAGAGAGGAGAAAGAUUGGUCCAUAGGCAAAUGGCAGUUUAUAAAGGUAAAGCAGGAAACCCCAUGUUAGGAAGAACAGCCAAAGGGAGGUUUUGAUUGAUGUAUUCCUGUGAUGCCUUUUUUGGUUGUCAACUUGACUGCAUCUGGAAUCAACUAAAACCCCAAAAUGAUUGAGCACACCUGUGAGGGAUUUUUUAUUUUCUCUUCACCCCCUUUUCUUCUUUGAGACCAGGUUUCUCUGUGUAGCCCUGGCUUUCCUGGAAUUGGCUCUUGUAGAUCAGGGUGGCCUCUAACUCAGAGAUCAGCCUGCUUCUGCCUCCCAAGUCCUGGGAUUAAAGGCAUGGGCCACUACCUCCUGGUUUGCUUAAUCACUGGAAGGAGAAAGACUCAGUUCUAACCUGGGUAUUUGAGGCCCUUUAAUCUGGGCCACACUUCAUACUGGAAGCCUAUGUAAAGGACACGGGAGAAGGAGCAUUGCUCUCUUUGCCUGUUGGUUUUCACUGGCAAGGCUUUUCCUUCACUGGCAUUAGCGCCUACGUCUUCAGGACUCCAGCAAGUACAUCCGGCCUCAUGGACUGAACACCUACUGGAUUCUUGGACCUUCUGUUGACAGACAGCCAUUGUUGGACUAGCUCAGUAGUUUUCAACCUUCCUAAUGCUGCAACCCUCCAAUAUAGUUCUUCAUG
This is a long non-coding RNA of Mesocricetus auratus (golden hamster), 2782 nucleotides long. RefSeq lists it as uncharacterized. The transcript is spliced from 3 exons. NCBI's taxonomy places the organism in Eukaryota, Metazoa, Chordata, Mammalia, Rodentia, Cricetidae. The record is from RefSeq and is a predicted model, not a curated record.